Pangasianodon gigas (Mekong giant catfish) is the source of this 72-nucleotide non-coding RNA. Lineage: Eukaryota; Metazoa; Chordata; Actinopteri; Siluriformes; Pangasiidae. The record is from the annotation of a GenBank genome assembly.
AGAACGAGUAGUAGAAAUUGCAAAACACUUUGUUUUUCUGCUCAAGGAUACAACCAUGGCAGCUCGGUGGAA